UCAGAUACUUGCUAAUUUCAGUAUCAUUUCUUCUUUCACAAUUUAUAACCUGAAAAUUAAUUGAAAUUGUAGAUUAGAAUGUCACGAACGCAAGACAAGAAAAAUCUACGUUGGAGCGAGCCCGUUUUACACCGUCACUUACCUCAGCCAUUGACGUCGGAAAACGAAUCUUCAUCAGUACGGCACUCGCAAUCAACAUCACCAAUGACCAAAUCCUUCGAACAACAGCAACAAAUGACAGCUGGUUGCUGCAUGUGCUGUAACGAGAAGAAGAUUAAAAAAAGUAAAUUAAAAGUAAAGCCACUAGUACAAAAUCUAAGUCGGAAUAAUCUUAGUGGUGAAGCUAAAAGACUUCAAGAGUCCUUAGAGUUGCAGCUUAUUGCAAGCCAAGUUGAUGAGUCACUUGCAAAUGAUAAGCUAAUGGCAUUGAUUCAACAUUUGGAUUUAGCAAUAAGCAUACUUGAAGCUUUACUACAUCAUCUACAGUCGCUUCAAAUGUUACAUUUAUCUGCCAGUAGAAUUUUCAAUUUAGGUCACCAGCUUUCUUCUUCAUCUUCUGAAGAAUCUAAUUUUACUGAAGUUACGAAUUUUAGUUAUCAUCUUCAUCAAGUAUUUUUACUUAUUAAACAGCUUUUAAGUAAAAGAAACUUUAUUUCGGUCUAUUAUAAUAUUUUUAUUUUUUUUAAUCCAGGCAGAAACGCACAAGGAAAAACAGUUACGACAGUUAAAAGAAAUAAUCGAAAUUUGUUCGAUAGACAUGACAGUUACCGAACAGUUUCAAACAAUGGUGAAGAAUCAUUUACUAAAAAGAGAAGACAUGAUAAUUGCGGCGAAAAAUUUCAAAAGUUUACUUUCAAAGUCGAAGUUAAAUUCUUCUCAAAUGAAGAAAUUACUUCGGCAAUACGAGUCUAUUUUAAAUAUCUUUCAAUGCAGUCGUCAAAAUUUGGACAUGGAGUUACCAAAAAUGAUGCGACUGUAGGCAAUUAAUUUCUCUUUCACAAGGACUGCAAAUGAUUACCCAAUUUUACAAUGACCAAGAUACUAAAUUUACAGCAACAUUGUUCAAAUUAAUUGGUGAUUGUGUAUUGCACGAUUUAAGUAAAGUUGCAGGGCACAAAAUAGAACAAGAUAUUUGCCCAAAGUGUAAAGUUAAUCAGGUGGAUAAGAAAUAAGUGUGGUAUUUGGAUUCUAUUUUUAUUUUUAAAAACGAAUGAAACCUUAUUUAUUGACUAUUGAAAUGAUAAUCUACUUAUAGAAAAAUAAUACCAAAUGCUGCUUCACGGUCUCUACGAGGACAAAUAUAUCUAUCUAAUUGAUUUAU
This 1321-nucleotide unclassified non-coding RNA is filed under the name Cotesia glomerata. Its description in RNAcentral is "uncharacterized LOC123265782, transcript variant X2". Lineage: Eukaryota; Metazoa; Arthropoda; Insecta; Hymenoptera; Braconidae. The record is from RNAcentral.